Molecule: ribosomal RNA, 643 nt
Filed under: uncultured bacterium
Lineage: Bacteria
Description: bacterial SSU rRNA
Rfam family: Bacterial small subunit ribosomal RNA
Source: RNAcentral
GGGGCAGCGGGGUAGUGCUUGCACUACUGCCGGCGACCGGCGCACGGGUGAGUAACACGUAUGGAACCUGCCCGCAGCAGGGGGAUAAGCGGAAGAAAUUCCGUCUAAUACCGCGUAACAACGUUGGGAGGCAUCUCCGGAUGUUUAAAGAUUUAUCGGCUGCGGAUGGCGAUGCGGCGCAUUAUCUAGUCUGCGGGGUAACGGCCCACCGAGGCGACAAUACGUAUGGGUUCUGAGAGGAAAGUGCCCCACACUGGUACUGAGACACGGACCACACUCCUACGGGAGGCGCCAGUGAGGAAUAUUGGUCAAUGGCCCAGAGGCUGAACCAAGCCAAGUCUGCGUGAGGGGAAGUCGGCCAUACGGGUUGUAAACCUCUUUUGUCGGGGAGCAAAGAGAGCCACGUGUGCCUCAUCGAGAGUACCCGAAGAAAAAGCAUCGGCUAACUCCGUGCCAGCAGCCGCGGUAAUACGGAGGAUGCGAGCGUUAUCCGGAUUUAUUGGGUUUAAAGGGUGCGCAGGCGGAGGUGCAAGUCAGCGGUCAAAUUGCGGGGCUCAACCCCGUCCUGCCGUUGAAACUGCAUCCCUUGAGUGCGCGAGAAGUAUGCGGAAUGCGUGGUGUAGCGGUGAAAUGCAUAGAUAUC